GACGAACGCUGGCGGCGUGCUUAACACAUGCAAGUCGAACGGUAAGGCCUUUCGGGGUACACGAGUGGCGAACGGGUGAGUAACACGUGGGUGACCUGCCUCGAGCUCUGGGAUAAGCCUGGGAGACUGGGUCUAAUACCGGAUAUGACCUUCUCUCGCAUGGGGGUUGGUGGAAAGUUUUUCGGCUCGAGAUGGGCCCGCGGCCUAUCAGCUUGUUGGUGGGGUGAUGGCCUACCAAGGCGA
This 243-nucleotide ribosomal RNA is filed under the name uncultured Actinomycetes bacterium. Its description in RNAcentral is "uncultured actinobacterium partial 16S ribosomal RNA". It matches the Rfam family "Bacterial small subunit ribosomal RNA", at positions 28 to 276 of the family's 1533-position model. The record is from RNAcentral. Lineage: Bacteria; Bacillati; Actinomycetota; Actinomycetes.